AGAGAAAACCUUUUGUGAAAGGCUCUCCAAGCAGAGACAGACUGUAGCAGAUCUCCAUGGGAAGUACUCCAGUCAGAUGAGUCUUGACACCCUUGUUCAGAGAUCUGCCACGGAACCUUCACUAGCAGAUAUGACCGAGUGGCUAAUGGAUGCGGAUAUAGCACUUCAUCAGCAAUUCUGCUGUAAGCUGUAUUUGCUUGAGACGCUUAAAUAUGAUGAUACUAAAUCAGCAGAAAAACUUCAAACUACAUGCGUGCAUGAAGAGAAGAUUGUCAUCAAUCAGAUUAAAGAGUAUUUGGACAAAGUACAUUUUUUCUUGAUGGAGGAUUUAUGACAGUGACCUGGAGAAGAGAUUCCAAUUCCUUGAUGAGAACUCGACAAACACUUUGUCAGAAAAUUUGGUAAAGAAGCAUGUGUAUGUAACAGCUUAACGCCAAUUUGUUGUUCCAAGAAUAUCACUGAUUUUAAUAAACAAGCUUGAACCGUGGUACAGCAGUUGAACAAGACUUGAACCCGCAUCUAGUUGUGAUCACAUAUAGCUCAGAAACAUACGACUGACGUUUUGUAGACCAUUACACCGCUUUCAUAAUGUCAACUAGUCGACCACAUGUUGUCUGUCAGUGUCAAAGUUCACAUCGCCCCUCAACACCUUCCUGGGUGAUGUAAAACCAUAAAAGCGAAACAACGGACUCUCUUUCACACUAUAAUACAUGAACACAUUAACAUACAAUUCAGAGCCAACAAAUGUUCUUUGGCCUUUACAGCAUUGUAGUAUUCAGAGUCUUCAAAAUGUUUAACUGACCUUCACAUUGUGGAUAGCAUUUGGAGAUACAGGGCGCAUGGGAACAGCUGCACAAGAAUAUUGUGUGAACACUUACCACUGGUGCUAUAUUUAUUGCAUGUAUGAUUAAAAUGCAAUGCAGUGAAGUGCUAAAUACAUCAGUAUUGUUUGAAAUGUCUUUUGUAUCAUUUUCACUACAUUUCUUAGAAGGACUUUCCUACAGUGUACUAGCUGAAGGUUACUGAGAGAAUAAACAUAUGGCAUACAAUUCUGAAGCACAUGUACAACUGUUGCCAUGAGGUGCCGGUACAUAUUCAGAAAUAGGCCUCCCUUACAGAGGGCUACUCUCACUAUUUGUGAGCCCUUGAUGACAAUAAGCUCUCAAUGACAUUUCUGGACAUUCAGCAGUCUAACUUGUUUUUCACCAGUAUGGUGUGCAUAUCUGUACGUCACACAUGGACAAGUUGGCCAGUAACUUGCCAAAGGUCAGUGGUUUACCUUCUGGGCACAUCGGUUUCCUCCACACAUAAAACUGUGCAUGAGUGAAAAAUUCUUGAGUAUUGUAUGAAACAACAAUCAAAUUAAUAAAUCCAGAGGGUUAAAGUUACAGUUCACUGUAUUGAAUUGAACUUCAUACAUAGCUUCACUGUGACAACUUACAAAUCAAGUUUCAAAUAAACCAUUUUCAUCUAUUUUCGAGGAAAUCAUAUACUUUGUCAGUCUUCAUAGCAUCUACCAGCGGAAUGGGUCUCUUAAGGUCUGGGAUAUUAGAGAUUUAGGGGCCUGUGUGGCUGCUGUGCCCUUUUGGUGUACUGAAGAAUUUUUGACUGAUUCAGCACCUCAGUUCUUAAGGUUUAUGUAUCCCUGGAGUAAACUAUUGCCUUUCAAUAAAGUUGGUAUAUGCCGUACUCAAGAAUAUUUUUACAACCAGCAUUAUGCUGGUAGGAAACCGGUCAGUAACCGGGGGAAACAUAAUCAAUAAUAAGAAAGCAUAAGAAUCGCAAUUCAAAACUAAUUCAAAAUAAAAAAUUUGUAUAUUUUUUGUCUUCGAAAAAGUACAUAGAAAUAUCUUUAGUCACAAAGUCAUAAAAUUCUGAGUAAAUUCGAAAUCUUCAAGUAUAAAAAGGUAAACGUUCUACUCACAGAUGCCUUAAAGAUAAUCUAAGAAAAGGAUCAAGUUCACAAUGAAAAAUCUUUGUCAUGACAUAAAUGCUGGGGUGUAGCAAAUGUCAAAUUGGUUUCUAUAGCCAAACGCACACCCUCUCCUGAUUGGUCGGUGAAUCAGUGUACGUAUGUCACUCGUAGGGCCUGGUUUCACUGGCUCCGCCCAUGAAGAUGUUUUCUAUAGCAAUGGAUACUUUAGGAUUGAAGCCUAGGAUUGGCUGAAAAAAAACACUAUCCAGAACCAUUCAGUUGUCUAAAAACAUUACAUACAUGAGUGUAGAAGUACAGGUACAUACCUUUGAUGUGACGUACUGUCAUUAUUUUAAGGAUAGGUUUCCGGGAUGCAAGUUUAAAGCUUGUCUCUCUAACUCCUGUAUUUAAAAGCUAGUAUGUGUAUAAAUGGGCAUAAAAUGUUACUGACUAGCUCAAAACAGAAUGUAUUUCAGUUAUAAAGAAUAAUUACAAAAAUAUCAACAUGACUAUUUUCAACUUUCAGAUUCUUGGUCCACGCAUGUGUCCAAAGUUAAAGAUGUAAAAAGUCAAUCGAUCACAUUCAAUAAAAAUAUUAAGAAAUAAAAAGGUGUUAAAUUGAAUAUGCCGUGCUCCUGUUGCACAGCGGCUCUCCCCUGAAUAUGAGAACUCUUCAGUAGUUUCUCUUUAAAAUACCAUCAAGUAGGGACACAAAAAAUAUCAAAUGAAGAAAUAAAUUUGAACAUUGGCUUUUUGCAUGUCAAAAUUUAUGUUAAAAACUAGGCAAAACUGUAGAAUGUGUAUGAGUAGGCUAUAUCUGAGUGAAUGAUUUACUAAGGUCCAAGAGAAAUAGAAACCUCUAACAGGGUGAAAGUUUCUAACUUCCACCUGGGAAGAACAUUGAAGGCCCCUUUGUGGAAUGGCGAGAGAGCAAGUCUUGCACUCGCGUGACACUUUGGUAUGAGUGUAAUAUGACUAAACUCAGUUGAUCAGUUCCACUCAGGCUGAGAAACUUAAGAAUGUCUCUUAUUUCUAGUGGAGUAAAGACUUCACGUUACGUUUACUUAGUUGAUUAGAUCACAACUUCAAUGUAAGUUUACCUAUUGUGUGUAGUUGUUUUGAUUAUUUCUUCUUUUUUUUAAUGUUUUGGAGUAUUAAAAAACUUUGUUCAAAGGCAAUGGUACAGUAAUAGACGAGCACUAGAUGGUGACAAGUUGCCACUGAAGAAAAUUAACAAAUGACUGUAUAUCAAAUCAUUUGCUACUUAGCUGCCAAAAUUUAUAAACAUAUGUAUUAGU
Molecule: long non-coding RNA, 3213 nt
Organism: Liolophura sinensis
Lineage: Eukaryota; Metazoa; Mollusca; Polyplacophora; Chitonida; Chitonidae
Exons: 3
Source: RefSeq, a predicted model, not a curated record